Molecule: long non-coding RNA, 482 nt
Filed under: Medicago truncatula (barrel medic)
Lineage: Eukaryota; Viridiplantae; Streptophyta; Magnoliopsida; Fabales; Fabaceae
Description: long non-coding RNA (MTRU_LNC000025)
Source: RNAcentral
ACGCAUUUCAAAAUACAUAAAAAUCAAAUGAUACCGUAUUCGACGUCAGAACUUUGAGAUUAAAAAGAUCAUUUCUUUAAAAUAAAAGCACCAUAGUUUUGGAGGCAAAAGAAACCCACCAUUUCCGUCUUGUCAUUGCAGUGCUUUAUUUAAUCAAACAAGUUCCAUCAGAAGGAAUAGAACAUAAAUUCUAUGUGGGCGAAGAAUCCUUGGUCACUGGAUGCUAAACAGAUCAUUCUAAAAGAAAAAUAACAAACAACAUAUUUCUUAAGGGAAUGCAAACAAAGAGAUGAUGAUAAGGAUAUAGUUAAUUACAUCCUAAUACUAAAUAUUAUAAUAGAAUUUGAUGUUGCUAGAAUAUUAAAACAUUGUUGACUUCGCUAUAAGGAGGAGUUGUGGAUGGUUGGAGCUUAUUGCAAAAUAUUAAGAGAUUGGUGGAGUUAGACCAUCUAUAAUGGAGAGUCAUUCCCCUAUUUAGCAUC